Molecule: transfer RNA, 75 nt
Filed under: Aquificota bacterium
Lineage: Bacteria; Pseudomonadati; Aquificota
Description: Aquificae bacterium tRNA-Gly
Rfam family: tRNA
About the family: Transfer RNA (tRNA) molecules are approximately 80 nucleotides in length. Their secondary structure includes four short double-helical elements and three loops (D, anti-codon, and T loops).
Source: RNAcentral
GCGGGCGUAGCUCAGUGGUGGAGCGUCUGCUUCCCAAGCAGAAGGUCGCGGGUUCGAUUCCCGUCGCCCGCUCAA